This 497-nucleotide ribosomal RNA is filed under the name uncultured bacterium. Its description in RNAcentral is "partial 16S ribosomal RNA". It matches the Rfam family "Bacterial small subunit ribosomal RNA", at positions 28 to 507 of the family's 1533-position model. The record is from RNAcentral.
GAUGAACGCUGGCGGCGUGCCUAAUACAUGCAAGUCGAGCGAACAGACGAGGAGCUUGCUCCUCUGACGUUAGCGGCGGACGGGUGAGUAACACGUGGAUAACCUACCUAUAAGACUGGGAUAACUUCGGGAAACCGUAGCUAAUACCGGAUAAUAUAUUGAACCGCAUGGUUCAAUAGUGAAAGACGGUUUUGCUGUCACUUAUAGAUGGAUCCGCGCCGCAUUAGCUAGUUGGUAAGGUAACGGCUUACCAAGGCGACGAUGCAUAGCCGACCUGAGAGGGUGAUCGGCCACACUGGAACUGAGACACGGUCCAGACUCCUACGGGAGGCAGCAGUAGGGAAUCUUCCGCAAUGGGCGAAAGCCUGACGGAGCAACGCCGCGUGAGUGAUGAAGGUCUUCGGAUCGUAAAACUCUGUUAUUAGGGAAGAACAAAUGUGUAAGUAACUAUGCACGUCUUGACGGUACCUAAUCAGAAAGCCACGGCUAACUACGUG